CCUACGGGUAGCAGCAGUGAGGAAUAUUGGUCAAUGGACGAGAGUCUGAACCAGCCAAGUAGCGUGAAGGAUGACUGCCCUAUGGGUUGUAAACUUCUUUUAUAUGGGAAUAAAAUGUUCCACGUGUGUGAUUUUGUAUGUACCAUAUGAAUAAGGAUCGGCUAACUCCGUGCCAGCAGCCGCGGUAAUACGGAGGAUCCGAGCGUUAUCCGGAUUUAUUGGGUUUAAAGGGAGCGUAGGUGGAUUGUUAAGUCAGUUGUGAAAGUUUGCGGCUCAACCGUAAAAUUGCAGUUGAAACUGGCAGUCUUGAGUACAGUAGAGGUGGGCGGAAUUCGUGGUGUAGCGGUGAAAUGCUUAGAUAUCACGAAGAACUCCGAUUGCGAAGGCAGUUCACUGGACUGCAACUGACACUGAGGCUCGAAAGUGUGGGUAUCAAACAGGAUUAGAUACCCCAGUAGUC
This 460-nucleotide ribosomal RNA is filed under the name uncultured bacterium. RNAcentral describes it as "partial 16S ribosomal RNA". It matches the Rfam family "Bacterial small subunit ribosomal RNA", at positions 338 to 795 of the family's 1533-position model. The record is from RNAcentral.